Molecule: non-coding RNA, 31 nt
Filed under: Mus musculus (house mouse)
Lineage: Eukaryota; Metazoa; Chordata; Mammalia; Rodentia; Muridae
Source: RNAcentral
UAAAAAUGGAGACACUAGCCCUGUCAAACUC